GUAGAUGAAUGAUGAGAGAUAGAAGAUGACGUGAGUAUACAUUGGCAGCUAUAGACUUAGUGCCUAUGGGACAAACACCGGUAGCUAUGGACUUAGUACCUUUUAGACGUUGGUAGCUAUGGAUUUAGUACCUGUUGGGAAUUGGUAGCUAUGGACUUAGUACCUAUUAGUUAGACGCUGGUAGCUAAGGAUUUAGUACCUGUAGGAAUUGGUAGCUAUGGACUUAGUACCUGUUGAACAUUGGUAGCUAUGGACUUAGUACCUAUUAGAUAAAGACUGGUAGCUAUGGAUUUAGUACCCGAUGAAUAGACUAUAGCAGCUAUGGAAUUAGUGCUUUAUGAACGAACAUUGGCAGCUAUGGAUUUAGUGCCAGUCCCAUAACCCUGGAAGUAAGGGACUUCGGAAUAAACGAAUGCAGGAUAGAUGACUCUUAGGUUAAAUCCUUAAAGAGUAAAGAAGAUAAUGGGGAUGGGUAAUUGGGUUGAUUGUUUGAUUGAACAUAAUAAUUAUAUUAUUGUGGGUUGAAAACCCUAUGUACUCACCAGGUUUCCCAACCUGACCCACUCAGUUUAUGUAUAUCACAGGUGACGAAGUGAAGUGACAUUACACUGAGAGAUUUAAAAGAGAUGUAGAUCACUAGUGUAAAUCAUUGUAAUUCUGUUUAUGCUUAUGUUUCGGUAUUAACGAUGACAUCCCAAACAUUUUAAAAUGAAAUAAAUACGUUUCUUCGAAAAUGUUUUAAUAACGUAUUUACCAUGUUUUUCUGGGAACAAAUUCCGCAACCUUUUUAUAAAAUGAAGUACUCUGAUUUUUAUAAAGCAUAAACAAAAUCGGUCUUUUCUGGCCGUGAUUUUGGGGAUGUCACAGUUGGUAUCAGAGCAUUAGUUUAAGCGAACUAGGAAUAUGGAUUUAUUUCUAGACUUAAACUUAGAAUGCUAAGCGAUGAUUGUGAGGUGUGAGCACUAGCUUAUUUUAGGAAUUGUGCCUAAAAUGCUUUUAUGUGCUAAAUGCUUUGUGCAUGAUAUGUUGUUAAUUGUUCGGAUCUAUGGUCUGUUGCCGACCGGAUCUGGAAACCUUAUGUGUUUAGGAUUCUAAACGUACGACUACGGUAUUAGAACUAGCAUGUAAAUGUUUCGGAGUGAUAAGGAUGAUUUAAACGUCAAGUAAAGGUCUAAAUUCACCUUAUUCGGUGUAUAGAUCGAGAUGGUAAGGACCCGUAGCGGAAACGUAAACGCAAAUGGGAACAGGAACCAACCCCCAGUGGUUCAGCAAAUACCUGUUGUAGAAGAAGUUGCGCCUGAGCCAGUCACCAUGGCUGGAGUUCAAGCCAUGAUUCGGGCUAUGUUGGCUGAACAAAGGGAAGAAAUGAGACGGAUGUUGAAUAGGGACGAACCUACUAUGCCCAUUGAGCAACCCGAACUGAUUCCCGAGCAAUCUGAGGAAGGGAACUACAGCCGCCAAGUGAGUCAAGUUGGGACUCAAGGUGAGCAAAGGGAUGGCCCAGAAGGGAGAAACAACAAGGAUGGGCGGAUGUACAAGAACUUCUUGGGUGCGAAACCACCAAGCCUCUCAGGAAGCCCAAAGCCGGUUGAGGUUAUGGAUUGGAUCUCUGAGAUGGAGAUGGUGUUUGAGAGCUGCAGCUGUAAUGAGAAACAGAAGACUGUCUUUGCAGUAAGACAGCUGAAAACUGGAGUCUUGAGCUGGUGGAAGCUAUUGGCAGAUACGAUGCCACGAGGAGAAGCCUUAAGGAUGUCGUGGGAAGAGUUUUUGGAACAGUUGAAAAUGCAGUACUGCUCGGAGGUAGAUCUGAUAGACCUAAACAACGAGUUUCAGAACCUGAAGAAAGGGAAGAUGAGUGUUGAUGAGUAUGCCACCGCAUUUACCGAGAGGAUGAAGCUAUUUCCCUACUUGGUGCCUACUGAACUCUCCAAGAUUGAUAGGUUUGCUAACGGACUGCCCACUGACUUUGGUCCAAUGGUCAAAAUGGCAACUACCUUAAAAGCAGCUAUUAGGGCAGCUAAGAACGUAGAGGCCCAGAUAAGAGAAAAGGGUCUAGAAAAAGAUAAGGCAGGAGAGAAGCGAAAGUUUGAGGGAUCUUCGAGGUCGAACAAGGAAAGCAAAUUCUCAAAACUCGGAGGAGCAGAUGGAGGUGAAACAAGAUGGUGUGAUAAAUGCAAGAAGAAGCAUGGUGGGAAGUGCAACGAAGAAGUGACUUGUUACAAGUGUGGGAGGACGGGUCACUAUUCCAAAGACUGCACACAUAAUGACAAAGUAUGCUACGGAUGUGGAGGCAAGGGGCACAUGUCCAGAGACUGCCCAAGGAAAAAUAAAGCAGCAAGACCAGAAACGCCACCAAGGCCAAGGGCAUUUCACAUGAUCCUCGACGAAGCAGAGAACCAUGCGAGGAAUCAAGAAUGAGGACUUCUUACCCGAAGAUCGGAUUAUGCAGUAGCCAUAGUUUCGUAUGAUGUAGCCUAGUAGAGGCAUAGUCUAGGGUGAACUUGAACACCUAUGUAAUCGUUUCAAGAAUUAAUAUAAAACCUUCGUUUUGUUAUCUGAUGUGUCGAAUGAUUGUGUGAUUUGCUGCAUGGUGACUUGGGAAACUGCGAGACAAUACUUGGGACGAGUAUGAGUAGGUGUGAAUGGUAGUAGAGGCCUAUACUACCGGAAGCACAGGACUCACACUUGGAUCAGGGAAAGUCACAAGGUUACCAAGAAGCUAGUAAUUGAUUUCGUUUUAUUCAAGUGUGUUGUUACCAUCGUUUCGGUAAUGACUAAGAAGAUUGUUGAUAUUCCGACCCUAGUGGUCAUAUCGAAUCGAGUCCGACUACGAUGAGUAUGUUGUGUGGUUCAGAGAACCAAGUUUGAUGUAGCGUCCGACUUAAACCAAACGGUUGAAAUCAAAGCGAUCAAUAGAAGUAUCGCACUCGUUGUUAAAGAAGUUGGUGGCUAGAAAUGCCUAAUGUUAAAGUGUGAUUAUAUCACAUUAGAACAUGAAGGAAGGCAUAGUCUGUUUUAGAAUUUAACUCUAAGAGACCUAAGUCUAAGUGUUGCAACAUACGAUGAUAGGUCAUUAGAAUAUGACACAUCGAUCUAUAGUAGUAAUAAAAGAACUUAUCUCAAGUCCGUAUCCAGCAAGGAUCGAGAUUGUGACUUGAAGGUCAUAAUUUGGAGUCUAACCUGAGGUAGAGAGCAGGUGCACGAUCGAGUACUCUUACAGUCAAUGAGUUUAAGAGAUAGAAUCGAAGGAAUGUAGAAGUUAUAAUUAUUACCUAGGAUGAAGAGAUGACGUAUGGAGUCAUUAUACGACCCUGUUUCGUUGAUGAUUCCGGGACGUAAUCAUCCUAAGGGGGAGAUAAUUGUAACGCCCGCAAAUCUGGGCUAGUCAAAUUAGAGGCAAUAGGGGUCGAAAACGACUUUUCGACAAAAGAUUAUUUAGAAUAAAUAAUCUUAACCAAGUUGUAGAGUAUGUUACAAGGUUUUCGUACAUAUAAAGAACGCCGAAAACCGAGUUAUAACGAAGAAGUUAUGACCCGUUGAAGUUUCGCGACGGAACCGGCACGAUACCGGGAAGCGUAAAUAGUGAAUUUACGAUAGAGCGAGAUUUAGCCUUAGCGAUCUAAACGAAAGUCGUAGAAUAUGUUAAACUAAGAACAUCGAUAAAAAGAACGCCCAAAUCUGACUUCGUAUGAGGAAGUUAUGAUUUUUCUAAGAUUUAGCAUAGCAGUGCACAGCCCGAAAUCUGAAUUUUAGAUCGGUCGAUUUUUAGCCGACGGGAUCUAAAUGAAAGUUGUAGUACUCGUAAAUACCAACGCGUGGAUAUAAAGAACGUCGAUAAUAGAGCUCGUAUGCAAAAGUUAUGGACGAAGCUUAGUCCCUACUUUUCGAGCGCGGCGAAUUCGAUACAGUUUUGUAAAUACGAGAUAGAAUGAGAAUUAGCCAACGAGGUCUAAAUGAGAGUUGAAGAUCUCAUUAAUAGGAACUCAACGGUAAAAAGACAGACAAAAAUGGAGCUCGUAUGCGAAAGUUAUGGACGAAGCUUAGUCCCUACUUUUCGAGCGCGGCGAAUUUGAUACAGUUUUGUAAAUCCGAGAUAGAAUGAGAAUUAGCCAACGAGGUCUAAAUGAAAGUUGAAGAUCUCAUUAAUAGGAACUCAACAGUAAAAAGACAGACAAAAACGGAGCUCGUAUGCAAAAGUUACGGACGAAGCUUGGAGACUACUUUACUAUACACUUCCUAUAAAUACAAGGGUGAACUCCUCAUAUUUUCUUCACACCAUAAGCCUUUCUUUCUCUCUCUAACUUCUCUCUAACCUCCCUAAACCCCUCCCAAGUCUAGGGAACCUCCCUAUCACGAGAAGAAAGCCCCGGAGCGCCCGACGGCUCCGAGAAGAAAAGCUUUCGGCUCGGAAACGCUGCUCCAGCGAAGCCCGGUUUUUAAUAAAAACCCGCUGUAAGUGAGCUACGCCUAUAGUAUAUUUAAUAUAGAUUUUAUUUAAUUAUAGUAACAUUGUUAGGACCUUAAAAUAAUUAUUUAGGCUAUUAUUAUGAGUUAUAUUGAGUGUUAUUUAACGCUUAUAUAAUAGUAAUAAUAGCUAGACUAUUAAAUUAGUCUCGUCAAGCGUUAGACUAAACUCUAGUGGUAAUGAUACUAGGUUUCGUCAAGGGAUAAUUGUUUUAAGAGUAACGAAGUGCUGUCCGAGUGCCGACUCACCACCUUUCAGGUGAGUGCAUAGUCCCUUUCAUCUUACACAUAGAUAUGAAGUAUUUUAUAUAAACUACGUGCUAUGUGUGCACAUUAUCUGAAUACUUGCUGUCUAUGCUGGUUGAACGUUUUAUACAUGUUUUAAAGGACUUAAACUGUAUACGUAUUUUAUAUAUACGAAAAUGUUGGGUAUGAGAUGGGUAGAUGAAUGAUGAGAGAUAGAAGAUGACGUGAGUAUACAUUGGCAGCUAUAGACUUAGUGCCUAUGGGACAAACACCGGUAGCUAUGGACUUAGUACCUUUUAGACGUUGGUAGCUAUGGAUUUAGUACCUGUUGGGAAUUGGUAGCUAUGGACUUAGUACCUAUUAGUUAGACGCUGGUAGCUAAGGAUUUAGUACCUGUAGGAAUUGGUAGCUAUGGACUUAGUACCUGUUGAACAUUGGUAGCUAUGGACUUAGUACCUAUUAGAUAAAGACUGGUAGCUAUGGAUUUAGUACCCGAUGAAUAGACUAUAGCAGCUAUGGAAUUAGUGCUUUAUGAACGAACAUUGGCAGCUAUGGAUUUAGUGCCAGUCCUAUAACCCUGGAAGUAAGGGACUUCGGAAUAAACAAAUGCAGGAUAGAUGACUCUUAGGUUAAAUCCUUAAGAGUAAAGAAGAUAACGGGGAUGGGUAAUGGGGUUAAUUGUUUGAUGAUUAAACAUAACAAUUAUAUUAUUGUGGGUUGAAAACCCUAUGUACUCACCAGGUUUCCCAACCUGACCCACUCAGUUUAUGUAUAUCACAGGUGACGAAGUGAAGUGACAUUACACUGAGAGAUUUAAAAGAGAUGUAGAUCACUAGUGUAAAUAAUUGUAAGUUCUGUUUAUGCUUAUGUUUCUGUAUUAACAAUGACAUCCCAAACGUUUUAAAAUGAAUUAAAUACGUUUCUUCGAAAAUGUUUUAAUAACGUAUUUAUCGUGUUUUUCUGGGAACAAAUUCCGCAACAUUUUUAUAAAAUGAAGUACUCUGAUUUUUAUAAAGCAUAAACAAAAUCGGUCUUUUCUGGCUGUGAAAAUGGGGAUGUCACAGAUCAUAAGCCCAACACAUAUAAAUAUAACUAAUUAACAUAAUUAGUCCCCAUAGAUUUAAUUAGUCUCUUUUGAUCACUAAAUUAAUUCCAAAUUAAUUCUUGAUCAAUAUUAAUUAACUCAUAUGAUUUCAUAUUAAUAUAUUAUAACUUAUAAUAUAUUAAUAAAUCAUAUAUAACCUCUUCUCUCAAAACUCUAUCCUCACAAAUUGUCCUGAUGAUAUGCAACCCAAAUGGACCAUGCUACUCUCGGGUCGAGUACAUACCAAUAAUAGUUAUAGGCUUAGACAUCUAAUCCAACAACUCUCUGAUGACUAGAAUGUCUGAAACUGAGACCUG
RNAcentral lists this long non-coding RNA (6111 nucleotides) under Lactuca sativa (garden lettuce). Its description in RNAcentral is "long non-coding RNA (LSAT_LNC007367)". Lineage: Eukaryota; Viridiplantae; Streptophyta; Magnoliopsida; Asterales; Asteraceae. The record is from RNAcentral.